RNAcentral lists this RNase P RNA (338 nucleotides) under Betaproteobacteria bacterium. RNAcentral describes it as "RNase P RNA component class A". It matches the Rfam family "Bacterial RNase P class A". From Rfam's summary of the family: Ribonuclease P (RNase P) is a ubiquitous endoribonuclease, found in archaea, bacteria and eukarya as well as chloroplasts and mitochondria. Its best characterised activity is the generation of mature 5'-ends of tRNAs by cleaving the 5'-leader elements of precursor-tRNAs. Cellular RNase Ps are ribonucleoproteins. Lineage: Bacteria; Pseudomonadati; Pseudomonadota; Betaproteobacteria. The record is from RNAcentral.
GAAGCGCGCCAGACGGUCGCUGCAUGCUAGACAUGCAGAGGAAAGUCCGGACUCCAUAGGGCAGGGUAGUGGGUAACCCCCAUCCACCGCGAGGUGAGGAUUAGAGCAACAGAGACGAGUCGUUGCCGACCGCGGAGGCCGCAAGGCCGACGUUGCCGGCAACGGGUGAAACGGGCAAUCUCUACCUGGAGCAAUACCAAAUAGGCAGGCGUUGAUGUGUGUCCCGCGGAGCCUGCGGGUAGGUAGCUUGAGGCGCACGGUAACGGGCGUCCCAGAGGAAUGGCCGUCAUAGCACGCAAGUGCCGUAACAGAAUCCGGCUUAUCGGCGCGCUUCCACU